RNAcentral lists this ribosomal RNA (261 nucleotides) under uncultured Oscillospiraceae bacterium. RNAcentral's name for it is "partial 16S ribosomal RNA". It matches the Rfam family "Bacterial small subunit ribosomal RNA", at positions 78 to 339 of the family's 1533-position model. The record is from RNAcentral. Lineage: Bacteria; Bacillati; Bacillota; Clostridia; Eubacteriales; Oscillospiraceae.
UUGCUUUUCUUAGCUUAGUGGCGAACGGGUGAGUAACGCGUGAGCAACCUGCCUUUCAGAGGGGGACAACAGCUGGAAACGGCUGCUAAUACCGCAUAACAUGAUUUAGCCGCAUGACUGGAUCAUCAAAGAUUUAUCGCUGAAAGAUGGGCUCGCGUCUGAUUAGCUAGUUGGUGGGGUAAAGGCCCACCAAGGCGACGAUCAGUAGCCGGACUGAGAGGUUGAACGGCCACAUUGGGACUGAGACACGGCCCAGACUCC